Molecule: ribosomal RNA, 404 nt
Filed under: Actinomycetes bacterium
Lineage: Bacteria; Bacillati; Actinomycetota; Actinomycetes
Description: Actinobacteria bacterium partial 16S ribosomal RNA
Rfam family: Bacterial small subunit ribosomal RNA
Source: RNAcentral
UGGGGAAUAUUGGACAAUGGGUGCAAGCCUGAUCCAGCCAUGCCGCGUGAGUGAUGAAGGCCCUAGGGUUGUAAAGCUCUUUCACCGGUGAAGAUAAUGACGGUAACCGGAGAAGAAGCUCCGGCUAACUUCGUGCCAGCAGCCGCGGUAAUACGAAGGGGGCUAGCGUCGUUCGGAUUUACUGGGCGUAAAGCGCACGUAGGCGGACUUUUAAGUCAGGUGUGAAAUCCCGGGGCACAACCCCGGAACUGCCUUUGAUACUGGAAGUCUUGAGUAUGGUAGAGGUGAGUGGAAUUCCGAGUGUAGAGGUGAAAUUCGUAGAUAUUCGGAGGAACACCAGUGGCGAAGGCAGCUCACUGGACCAUUACUGACGCUGAGGUGCGAAAGCGUGGGGAGCAAACAGG